This is a long non-coding RNA of Loxodonta africana (African savanna elephant), 7940 nucleotides long. RefSeq lists it as uncharacterized. NCBI's taxonomy places the organism in Eukaryota, Metazoa, Chordata, Mammalia, Proboscidea, Elephantidae. The transcript is spliced from 3 exons. The record is from RefSeq and is a predicted model, not a curated record.
CCCGCCGCGCCGUGGGGGAGGGGCGGGGCGGGCCGCGAGAGACCCGGGGAAACAUGGCUGCUCGUCCUAGUUCGGCGUCGCGGCGUGGCCACCAGCCGCCGGAACAGAGUUGGGAGAGGCUCCGAAGAGGCUCCCGCGCCGGCGGAAUUCAAUCAAUAAACCCCGAACCCACGGCCGCGCGUUUUAGGACUUUGAAGGCUCAACCAGCUCCGCUCGGUUCUCGAGCCCCCAGCACCCGCAGCGCACACUAACCUGAUCGCCGUGGAGGCGGGACCUGCGGCCCCGAGGACGAGUGGCAGCAGCCAGAGCCAAUCAUCGCCGAGGGUCUCCGGGCAACAGCCCAUGGUGGCGGCGGCGGGGGGGAAGGGACCAAUGGGCGGGCUGCGCAGCCGGCCAGGGAGGCUCAGCCAUUUGGUUGUGGUGCCGGAGACGGACCCCUUUAGAUUUCGGGGCGGCCGAGGAGCGCGGUGGCUGCUCGGUGGCUGAGCGAGGGGGGUGGGCGGAAUGGCGGGGGAAGGGAAGGUGACUGUGCCUCGAGGGCCGAGCCUCCCGGUCGCGCCAGUCCGCCGCCGCCUCAGCGUUUGGCCGGGGGCGGGGCCGCAGGAGAUAAAUGGAAAGGGAAGCAAGCAGAGUGGGAACCUCACACCACCUGGAAAGCAGCACCAGGAGCAGAAUGUGUCCUUUGGACCCGGGGUUCCUGCAUGGAGAAGCUCUUAGUCCAGGGUAAGAUUGAUGAUAAGAACCUUCCUCCAGAGUGGCCAGAGAAAGCCUUCCCCUGGAAAAGACACCCUGAAUUUGGACUUGUAGCCUACUGGACUGUGAGAGAAUAAACUUCUCUGUGUUGAAGCCAUCCACCUGUGGUAUUUCUGUUAUAGCAGCACUAGAUGACUAAGACAAGCCUCAAGGAAGAAAGAUGGUUCUCAAGUUAGAAAAGAUAUCUUUCUGUCUUGCAGAAUAUUUCCCAUCAAGAACCAUUCCAAACAAAUGAGCAGCCUAUCUUGUACUCAAAGAGGGAUGAGGAAUGGGUGUCCUUAGCCUAUCUUGAUAAGUGUUAGAAAGUAUUGUUUUAUAAAUACCCACAUCAUUGCUGCUGCCAUGUUGGCUCAAUUGCCCUUGUUUGGUCUCUAAAGACGGAGACCCUCUACUGAGCAUCCUUUCCAUGAGUGAGGUUAACGUAUUCACCAUUCAGCUUUUUGUUCAGCUUGAAUCACAUACACUGGAACCUGGCCAUUGUAUUCUUUUACCUACAUCAUGGUUCUGCUGCUUAGACCCCAAAAACAAUGAUAUGGGAAGACUCCAGCUUAAUUAUGUUCUCCUUUGUGUUUCUAUAUAAAUAGCUUUUAGAAAUAUAUUCUUUUGAAAUCCAGGGUAACAAAUGUGAAGACUACUGCAUUUUGAUAUGAAUAGCAAAGGAAUGUUGAGGCCCAGGAUCUAAAAAGUUACUUAUUCUUAAUUUUCUUGUACUUAACAAAGCAUUGGAUGGAUUUUUUUUUUUAAUUGUGCUUUAAAUUUUUUUUAAAUGAAAGUUUACAAAUCAAGUCCGUCUCUCAUACAAAAAGUUAUACACACCUUGCUAUGUAUUCCUAGCCGCUCUCCCCCUAAUGAGACAGCACGUUCCUCCUCUCUACCCUGUUUUCCCUGUGUCUGGAUAUUUUUUAAAAAUAAUAAUAAAAAUUAAAUAGUUACCUUAUCAUGGAGAAAGACUGCUGUUGCAUGAACACAGUCACUAUAUGUAUGUGAUUUAAAAAUUAAAUUAAUAGUAAGAAUCUUAUAAGCAGCUUACAGACGGUUUAUGGGGGGGGGGGAUAACUGUUUUGCCUGCACACUUGUUGGAGAAUCACUAGAAAUGUUGUAAAUCAGUUUCUCAAAUAUAUUUAUUAAUUUUAAUUUGGGGUCAGCAAUAAAAGGAAAAUUUGCUUACUACUCACCAGGAAGAAGACAAGAGCUAUAAGCUGUAAUUUUUAGUAUCAGAAUAAGGCUUUAAAGGAAAAAAGUCAACACAUUAAGGACAAAUAAUGGAAUAAAGAGCCAUAGAAUGAGACCGACUAAAGGCGAUCUAGGUUGAAAAAUAGAAUUGCAAUUAAUUUAGAGUCUAUUUGUUUUAAUCCUUGUGGGGUUGACGUUUAUGAAGAAAAGCGUACUAAAACCUAUUAAAUAGGAAAAGGUAGAGAACAGACUUCCUAAAAACUUUUAAUAUAUUUGCUGUUUGCAAAUGCCAUUUAUCAGUUCAAGUAUACUCAGUAAAGUUGUCCUCCCAGAGUACUUAGUAAUGGCAGUUACUGUUUAUACCUAUAAGUAAUAAUCUAUUUAAAAACAUAUAUUCUAUAACUCGUCUUGAAUUAGAGCUCAAUUUAUUGCAUUCUGAGAAAUCAGUAAAAUGUGUAUAUAUUUCUAGUUGAAAGAUUAGGUCUUUUCAGGAGAGCAUGCCUCCCUCCCAGUCUUUCUCUGGAAAGAUUAGGUCUUUUCAGGAGAGUAUGCCUCCCUCCCAGUCUUUCUCUGGAAAGAUUAGGUCUUUUCAGGAGAGUAUGCCUCCCUCCCAGUCUUUCUCUGGAAAGAUUAGGUCUUUUCAGGAGAGUAUGCCUCCCUCCCAGUCUUUCUCUGGAAAGAUUAGGUCUUUUCAGGAGAGCAUGCUUCUGUCCCAGUCUUUCUCUGGAAGCCCUGGGUCCUAGCAACAUGAGUAUAAAUGUGUCGAAUUCAUUUGGGUAUGACCAAAUGAGAGAGCCAUGUCAGGUGCCUGAGGACUCUGAUCUGGCAGGGGGAACACAGGUUUUACUCUGCUAGAUUGAUACUCUGACUCGCUUCGCCUGAAACCAUUUUAUAUGCCUUCUAGUGUGUUCGAAUUGUAUCACUUCUACAUAUAUUUAUUCAAAGGCAACUUAAGUGUGACAAAAAUACUUACGCUAGGCUGGACCAACUUAGUCUAUGUUCAUGAGUAGAAGCAAUGCUAUAGAUAAGAGCAAAUGCAGGACACAGGUGUGAAAAGAUAGGUAACCGUGCUGAUCAUAGUAUUAUAGCACUGUCUGUAAUAGUGAAAGGAGGGAAGGAGGGAGGAUCAUUCAUAUGCACAGAAAAAAAUCUGGGAGAGUAUACACCACAAGGGGUGAUGAAGUUACAGUGCUUUUUUUUCUCCUUUCUUUUUGCUUGUCUAUAUCUUCUAAGUUCUUUCAGUUAAUAUAUAAUUUUCCCAAUUAAAAAAUGAGUGAUUUUUAAUGGAAAACAAUAGGUAUAGCUGACAUUCUGGGUCUUUAUGCUAGUCAAGAAUUCUUGGUUCCAGGACAACAGAAACUUACCCUGACCAAUGUAAGCAGAACACAAUUUCUUGUAGAGCAAUCACAGAAGCAAAGAACGAGGUUCAGGAAAUAAGCAGGAACCAGGAAGCUGGGUAGCCUAGCCUAGAACACAGGCAAGAUGACCGCCCAGACAGAGUCUGCAGAGGACCCCGCCCCUUGGAAGUCAUCUCUAUGCCACGGACUCUGCAUUCCACCACUGCUGCAAAUGAUGGCUUUCUCAGGAUCCUGCUUUUCCCACCACUCCCUUAAGGAUCAGAGCCCGUGGCAGGGGUAUUUUUUAGAUGCCCUAGCUGUUAGGGAAAAAGAUGAUCUGCCUCCUUUAGUGUCCACAGUGGGAUGUGUGACCCUGCCUUCUACCUGUUUUAGUAUUCUGCCCAAAUAGUGUUCUCAUACUAGGUGGCCACUAAAGUGUUCUAAUUAAACCACACUAUUUUAUGAAAGGUUUCCUAAGGAGCACUGAUGGCACAAUGGUUAAGUGCUCAGUUGCUAACCAAAAGGCUGGAGGAUCGAACACACCAGUGGCUCCACAGGAGAAAAGACCUGGCAAUCUGCUCCCAUAAAAAGGAAACCAAACCCACUACUGUCGAGUCAUUUCUGACUCAUAGCAACCCUACAGGACAGAGUAGAACUGCCCCAUAAGGUUUCCAAGGCUGUACAUUUUUAUGGAAGCAGACUGCCACAUCUAUCUCCUGCGGAGCAGCUGGUGGGUUCAAACCGCAGACCUUUCAGUUAGCAGCCGAGCAUUUUACCCAUAAAGAUUACAUACAGCCUUGGAAACCCUAUGGGGCAGUUCUCCUCUGUCCUCUAGGGUAGCUAUGAGUCAGAAUUAACCUGAUGGCACACACGACAACAACAUGAAGGUUUCCUACCCAUCUAGCUUACCCCCACCUUAGCUCCUCAACUGCUCCCUACUACUUACCAGGACAAGGCUGCAUCAUCCACUGAGGAUCAAUCUAAAGCAAAGCUAAUAUUUGAAAUCCUUAAUUUCUUUAAAAUGCUUCCCUUUCCAAAUCCUAAACCAGAAGAAACAAUAUAUUAUUGUCGAUGUCAAUGAAGUACUUAACGAAGCACAGCUGACAAUAACCUUAAGCCUUUGAGAAGAAGGAUCCCCAACAGAGACAUUUGAUUUUAAAUUAGAAGGAAUUUAGUCCUAAGGGACACGAUAAAGACAGGAAUAAUCUCCAUUUUAUGUUGCAUGAAUAAAUGCAGAGAUCUCUAGAUACCAAGUGAUGUAAGAUCUUGAGUAGCGAGGGAUUAUUGCCAAUGGGUUUCUAUUUGCUAUUCUUUGUUCAGGCUCAAGUGUAGACCUAAGCUGAAAGGUAUGAGGUUUGUAGUAAGUUUACUGGAAGGAGGCAAGUGGUCACAGGCCAAGGGAAGGAAAAAAGGGUACAGAGCAAGAUGCAGUUACUUCAAGGACAAUUUAAGAGAACAAAAAACGCUGAUGGUGAAAGAAGUGCAAAAACCACGAACACAUCAAAGGGGUCCACAUCCCUACCAACAAAGAAGAAGGCUGCAAAGGAUUCACCUUUAGAAAACAUGAUUAACGUUGGGACAUGGUUCUCUUCUCUCUUGACCUCAUCAUUUCAGGUCAAUUAGCUUAGAUUGCUUUUCAGCUAGAAAAAGCAAAUGAUACCCUUGCAAAGACUCUGAACACUGUUAUAGGGGAAUUCAACUGUUUGCUAGCUUUAUUUUUGCUACUAUUAAAGCAUGGUUUAACUGUUACAUGACUGGAAGUUCUUAUUAAUUGCAAUGACUGUCUUUCCAGAGAAGCAGCGCUACAGGUUCUGUUCAUUGAUACACAAAGUGCUCUUCCUGACCACAUGUUUUACUAAUUAGAGCUUCACAUUUUCUCAGAUGAUUUAGUGCAAAUCAUGGCAGACUGCUAACUCUUCAACAAAAUUCAUUCUCUCUUCUUCUUGGAUGCAAAGCUUGACUAGGCUUCCCAGUUGCCCUUGCAGAUAUAUGGGGCCAUGUGACUGAGUCCUAACUGGACUGUGAGUGGAAGUGAUGUUUGCCACUUUGAGGCCUGAAAUCUCCAACGCAUGCUGGCCAAGAUGCAAGAGACAGAGUGAUCUUAGAAGCCAUGUGUUCAUGAGGAUGGGGCCAACUUUGGCCUAGGUCCUGAAGGACAGCCAUUACACCAGCAUGUUCGCUUGUCCAUCAAAAGACAAACUGUAACCAAGAUAGAAAUUUUUAUGGUCCUGAACCCUGGUGUCAUAGUGGUUAAGGGCCAUGACUGCUAACCAAAAGGUUGGCAGUUCAAAUCCACCAGGUGCUCCUUGGAAACCCGAUGGGGCAGUUCUACUCUGUGCUAUGGGGUUGCUAUGAGUCAGAAUCAAGUUGACGCAAUGGGUUUGAUUUCUUUUGGGUUUUGGUGCCAUUACAUGUUUGGGUCUAUUUGCUACUGUAGCCUAAGCUAACAUACUAAUAAAGUUUUUUUCAGUCUUAGUUUUCUAUUCAUUUAUGAUUUUGAAGAUCAACUCUAGAUUUGAAAGGUUUAUUGUUGUGUUUGCAAUAUAUCUUUGUAUUACAGGUCCCCAGAGGCACCAAAAAACAGAGGUUAAAGAAUUAUAUUAAAUGACAAAUACUUAAUGAAGGAAAAACUAAUUGUAAGGAGUCUAUAGAAGUGACACGCAAAUAUAUCUCUUUCCCCCAAAUUUUAGGCUUGGCUUGUUGCAAGUGUAAAACAAAUGUCUGCUGUCUCUUACCAAUAAGUGAUCCUCCCUCCCUUUCUGAGUGACAGUUCAGUUGCCCGAUGGGCAUCUAUAAACAGUUGUCCUAGAGGAACAUCCACACAACAUUUUCAAAACCAAAACCAUCUCCUCUGUCAGCCUCUGCCUACUCUGACUCCAUCAAGCUACCAUCAUCCUCUUGACUCCAGUUUUUUAUCAGUAGCACCCUUAGAAUUGUCCUCUGAUGAUUCCCAUAACCAAUGGUUGGUUCAUUCUCUGCUCUUUUCCCCCAGAUAUCUUCCUUCUUUCACUGUUUUCCUAUUUUUACUACUCUAAUCUGAGAGUGGAAACCCUGGUGGCAUAGUGGUUAAGUGUUACGGCUGCUAACCAAGAGGUCAGCAGUUCGAAUCCGCCAGGCCCUCCUUGGAAACUCUAUGGGGAAGUUCUACUCUGUCCUGUAGGGUCGCUAUGAGUCGGAAUCAACUCGAUGGCAGCUGAGUUUUAAUCUGAGAGUAAGGAGCCCUGGUGGUGCAAUGGUUAAGCACUUAGCUACUAACCAAAAGGUUAGAGGUUUGAACCCCCCAGUGGCUACAUGGGAGAAAAGACCUGGCAAUCUACUCCCAUAAAGAUUACAGCCUAGGAAACGCUAUGGGGCAGCUCUACUCUGUCAUAUAGUACAGUCGUUAGGAGUUGGAAUCAACACGACAGCACACAAUGAGAGUGCCUGCACCAGCUCCAAACUCUCCGAUGUCUUAAUGAACCCAUGUGUCAGUUGUUCCCAAGCUUCUGUUUUUCUCAACAAUAACAUUUUAAAAAAAAAAUUGUACUGACCAUCAUAGAAUUGGCAACUUUUAAUUUUGCCAGAUAAAAACAUUCUUUAAAAAAAAAAACUAUCUUUUUUUUUUAUAGACUACUUUUGGUACUGUAAGGGAGACAACUUCAGAAUAUACAGCAGUCCUUUAUAUUAAAUAAAUCUGAUUUUAUGAAAACUCACUAUGUUGUCCUAGACUUUCUACUUAGGUGGCUGGAAACUCUUCUGUGGACCGGCACUGGCCCUGAGGCCCUGAUGUCCUCUUGUGGCCAGAUGAACAUGUCUGAGCUCUAGUCACAGUGCUCGUCUAAUCAACAACAGUCUUUGGUUCCUUGUGGUCUAUUCUCCUCUACCUGGCAUUUAAGCUCCCAAACAAAGAGACCCUACACUACUGUCUUAGUUAGCUAGUGCUGCUGUAACAGCACAAGUGGGUGGCUUUCACAAAGAGAAAUUUUUUCUUUCACAAUCUAGGAGGCUAGAUGUCCAAAUUCAGGGUGCCAGCUCCAGGGGAAGGCUUUCUCUCUCUGUUGACACUGGGAAAAGAUCCUUGUCAUCAAUCAUUCGCAGUAGGGGAGCUUCUCAGCACAGGGACCCCCGGCCCAAAGGAUGUGCCACUCUCCUAGCUGUUUCUUGGUGGUAUGAGAUCCCCAUGUCUCCCUGCUCACUUUGAUCUUUUAUAUCUCAAAACAGAUUGACUUAAGACACAAUUUAAUCUUGUAGAUCGAGUCCUGCCUCAUUAACACAACUACCCCCACCUCAUUAACAUCAUAGAGGUAGGAUUUACAACACACAGGAAAAUCACAUCAGGUGACAAAAUGGCAGACAAUCACACAAUACUAGGAAUCAUGGACAAGCGAAGUUGACACACAUUUGGGGGGACACAAUUCAAUCCAUAACAACUACAUUUCCAGUCUCAUUAUUAAUUUCCAGGCAAAUUAGACUCUCUGAUAUUCCCUUUUCUAUCUUUGUAUUCUUCCACCUUGUACACCCUUUCCAUUUUUCUCCACAAAUCAAAAUUCUAUCCAAAAUUAAGUCCAAAUUUGAUGUCACUUUCUAUGAAACCUUUUAUGAUCCAUUCUACCCGCCCAAACAUACUUCCUCUUCUUGAACUUUCAUAUCACAAUAAAGGAUAGCAAAUGGCUACUUACUUGCACUUACUAUAUUUAC